Molecule: ribosomal RNA, 505 nt
Filed under: uncultured soil bacterium
Lineage: Bacteria
Description: bacterial SSU rRNA
Rfam family: Bacterial small subunit ribosomal RNA
Source: RNAcentral
AGAGUUUGAUCCUGGCUCAGAAUCAACGCUGGCGGCGUGCCUAACACAUGCAAGUCGAACGCGAAAGUCCCGCAAGGGAUAAGUAGAGUGGCAAACGGGUGAGUAACGCGUGGGCGACCUACCUUCGAGUGGGGGAUAACAUUCCGAAAGGAGUGCUAAUACCGCAUGACAUCCUGCGUUUAGAUACGCGGAGAUCAAAGCCGGGGAUCGUAAGACCUGGCGCUUGAAGAGGGGCCUGCGUCCGAUUAGCUAGUUGGCGAGGUAAUGGCUCACCAAGGCUCCGAUCGGUAUCCGGCCUGAGAGGGCGGACGGACACACUGGAACUGAGACACGGUCCAGACUCCUACGGGAGGCAGCAGUGGGGAAUUGUUCACAAUGGGCGCAAGCCUGAUGACGCAACGCCGCGUGGAGGAUGAAGACCUUCGGGUCGUAAACUCCUUUCGACCGAGAUGAAUAUCCAUGGGCCUAAUACACCCAUGGAGUGACAGUUCGAGAAGAAGCCCGA